Non-coding RNA from Schistosoma margrebowiei, 45 nucleotides. The record is from Rfam. Lineage: Eukaryota; Metazoa; Platyhelminthes; Trematoda; Strigeidida; Schistosomatidae.
AUCCAGCUGACGAGUCCCAAAUAAGACGGAACACACAUCCUGGAU